This 1010-nucleotide ribosomal RNA is filed under the name Ralstonia mannitolilytica. RNAcentral's name for it is "bacterial SSU rRNA". It matches the Rfam family "Bacterial small subunit ribosomal RNA", at positions 35 to 1032 of the family's 1533-position model. Lineage: Bacteria; Pseudomonadati; Pseudomonadota; Betaproteobacteria; Burkholderiales; Burkholderiaceae. The record is from RNAcentral.
GCGGCGGCAUGCCUUACACCUGCAAGUCGAACGGCAGCGGGGAGAAGCUUGCUUCUCCUGCCGGCGAGUGGCGAACGGGUGAGUAAUACAUCGGAACGUGCCCUGUAGUGGGGGAUAACUAGUCGAAAGAUUAGCUAAUACCGCAUACGACCUGAGGGUGGAAGUGGGGGACCGCAAGGCCUCAUGCUAUAGGAGCGGCCGAUGUCUGAUUAGCUAGUUGGUGGGGUAAAGGCCCACCAAGGCGACGAUCAGUAGCUGGUCUGAGAGGACGAUCAGCCACACUGGGACUGAGACACGGCCCAGACUCCUACGGGAGGCAGCAGUGGGGAAUUUUGGACAAUGGGCGAAAGCCUGAUCCAGCAAUGCCGCGUGUGUGAAGAAGGCCUUCGGGUUGUAAAGCACUUUUGUCCGGAAAGAAAUGGCUCUGGUUAAUACCUGGGGUCGAUGACGGUACCGGAAGAAUAAGGACCGGCUAACUACGUGCCAGCAGCCGCGGUAAUACGUAGGGUCCAAGCGUUAAUCGGAAUUACUGGGCGUAAAGCGUGCGCAGGCGGUUGUGCAAGACCGAUGUGAAAUCCCCGAGCUUAACUUGGGAAUUGCAUUGGUGACUGCACGGCUAGAGUGUGUCAGAGGGGGGUAGAAUUCCACGUGUAGCAGUGAAAUGCGUAGAGAUGUGGAGGAAUACCGAUGGCGAAGGCAGCCCCCUGGGAUAACACUGACGCUCAUGCACGAAAGCGUGGGGAGCAAACAGGAUUAGAUACCCUGGUAGUCCACGCCCUAAACGAUGUCAACUAGUUGUUGGGGAUUCAUUUCCUUAGUAACGUAGCUAACGCGUGAAGUUGACCGCCUGGGGAGUACGGUCGCAAGAUUAAAACUCAAAGGAAUUGACGGGGACCCGCACAAGCGGUGGAUGAUGUGGAUUAAUUCGAUGCAACGCGAAAAACCUUACCUACCCUUGACAUGCCACUAACGAAGCAGAGAUGCAUUAGGUGCUCGAAAGAGAAAGUGGA